AUUGUAUCUUCUCCCAAACGCGUUUCACAGGUUAAAGACUUUUUGAAGUAAAGAGGAGCAUCUCAUAUGAACCUGAUGUCUAUCAUGGAUAUUUAACUGCAGUUCUGUGAGUAUCCCAACUUGACCAUGAAGAUGAACUGCAAACUGUAAGUCAUUAGUUUCUCAUUACUCUUGGGCACAUUGAUGUAUUUUGGCUUCCUGGUGAGUUAACCUGUUAGCUGAAGGUUGAUCUGUGUAUGAAGGAUGUUUCAUUGGUUCAUGGGUUACUUAGGUGUUUGGUUUAUGUUGGUUUUAAUGUUUUUUUUAUAAUGGUCACAGGCACCAAGUUAUUGUUGUAAGCUGGAGUAAUGGGUUGGGUUCUGAUAUCUUCAGUCUUCUUUCCAGCUACUCUCCUGAGCUCUGCAUCUUCAUCACAUGAGUGUUGCUUUAUUUAUGAGGGUGUGGUCUGAGUGAGCAGAGGUGCAUACUGGGAUACAGAGUUGUCUGAAGUCUACAGGUCUGUAGACACACCCCCGCAGGGGAAACCGUGUGUUUGAGAAACGGUCGUGACAUCAGUUACAUGGACUAGAAUGUUCUUUAAGAUGGAGACAGGGAUUCAGAAGGAGAAACACCAGGGGGAGAUGAGGGGGCUCCUCAUCUCAACUACUAAAACCCAACUUCAGUCUGACGCAGAGAACCAUGGAACACAUUCAACCGUCCCCUCCAGGCAUAGUGACUCCUCAGGAACAUUUUCAUUUCCAAGAAGGUCUUAUUUGGGGCCAUUCCAAGAUGGAUCCUGCUCCUCAAGAGCCACCCCCCUCCACUUGGUGGUCUUAUGAACAGAUUACCUCCUUCCUGUCCUCAGGCUGACUAAAGCUGCACCGCUUGCUGUGAAGGCCCCUCAUUCAGGAAUCCACUGGACUACAAAGACAUGCCUUCAGAGACGUUGAAUCAACCUGGGACACAUUUUGGACGCCAAGCAUAAUCCAUCACCAAUGUGGGACGCCAUUGAAGAAUGUUGUACAUAAUUUACGUCUCUGGAGACAUUGGUUGUUCUGUUCUGGGUGUCCUGGCAAGAGAGCUGGGGGUGGAAGAUGGAAUGUUCUUUGGGAUGAGGUUUUUACCCUGCAUGAUUUGUUUUGCCUUUUAUGGCUGUGUUGGUUUGACAUGAGGUGGAUGAUUUUUGUGUGUGUCACUCACACCUGGCAUGGGGUUCUGUGCGUGUGUCCGGCUUGCUUUGACAGUGAUAAUGGUCAUACGGGGGUCUGUGUGAUUGGCUUGGGAUAUUGGAAUGGUCAAAUAAAUCAUACCUGAUGGACGGCCACACGUUUACUUGAGGCCUCCAGUAGACAUGAAGAGCACGGAGCAACGGUCCGGAGAGAUAUCCAACACACUGGGCAGGAAGGAGAGUGUCCAAAUCAAGUGUAAAAGGAUGCAAGCGGCGUGUUCAGAUCAGUGACUUCAAACUAGGACCACACAAAUCAGGAUCAAUGGAGGAUGGACACCUAAAGGCAUUCCACAAGGAGAGUGAAGUUGGAAAGGGACCUCGAUGGAUAUUCAAGAUGACCUUCAGACCUGUAAUGAGACGGCUCUUCCUACCUGGCUGGAUUGAUGGAGCCCCGUGGAUCUUGUCUUGCUCUCAGUUGCACGUCUUCUCAGGCUGAACUGUAUUUGUUUCGGACAGGACUAGCUGAACGAUUGGUUCCCUUAAAUCAGAACCGAUCUGGGAACUCCAACUAGUGCGCUCUUCGAGCUGAAGUUGUGCUCUUCAGCUGAGGAGGUAAUGAAACCUUCACUGGGGUUUCAAGAUGUAAGGAGGAGACUGUUUCAAAGUGUUCCAUGGUACUCUGAUGAAGACCGUUGUUGUGUUCCACUGGCUGAGAGGAAGAACCCUCACAUCUUCCUCUUGGCCUUUCUCCUCAGAGUCCUGGCGCCAUCUUGAAGGAUAUUCCAGGGCAUGUAACUGAUGUCACGACAGUUUCUCAAACACUUGGUUUCUCCUGAGGGGCUUAUCUAUAGAACUGAAGACUUCAGACAGCACUGUAUCCCAGCAUGCAUCUCUGCUCACUCAGACCACACCCUAAUGAGUAGGAUGCAACACUCUAGCGAUGGAGAUGUAGAGUUUUAUAAGUAACGAGGGAGCAGACAAAGGUGACUAGAACACAAUGGCAUGUCAAGUCUGUAAAUCUUUAAACCAUGAAGAUGGUUGGAUAGAUCAGGAAUUGGGCUUUAUUUUAUUAUGGGCAGUCCUCCCACUUCUCGCUGGACCUGUACAUGUGUUGGCUGGCUGGCAUGAUUUGCUGUUGGUGAUGAGUAGGUCAGGGUGACGUUGCAGGGCUAUGGUCGGCUCUCUGUGAGCUCAACGUUUAGAUUUGCUCUGUAUGGUUUGUACCAUGAAUAAUCUAGAUAAUUGUAAAAUGUAGACAUGGUUUUGUAUUGAAUGAUUCCAUUGUUUUUAGGCAAGGAUUUGUUGUUGUGGGAUGUACAUGGUAGUUUGGUUCUUCGUACGGUUUUGAUUGAUAUAACUUGUACACACUGGGUGCAUAAUAAUGUAAAAGUAUACUGAAUAGUAGAAAUUACCAACAGCAACAAACAGAUCUCCUCAAGGUAAGUCUGUUGGCUGUGUUUUAAUGUAGACCAUCGCUGGACUUCAGGAUCUUCCUCCGUUCAGCUCAAGGUGAGGCGCUGGUUCUGUUUUUUCUUUGGUUGGUUCCGGCCGGAAUGUUCGGAUUCCAGUCGGACGGUUUGUGCUUCCCGCCGUGGAAGGUUCUGAGUGCGGUCACUUGAUUUAGUCCCAAUGGUUAGCAUAGAACGUUGUAGUCUUGACACCCAUUAGAAGCCACCAGUUGGUUGGACAGGAAUCUGUCUGAACGUUCUGGAUUGUAUUUGCGUAACCUUGAGCCGUUGCCAACGGAAACUAUUUUUCAGUUGUUUUCAUUGGGAAUUGUUGGCCCUUAUCUUAAACAACUUAAGUUUGACAUUAAAUACAUACUGACGCGUACAUCGUACAAUAUGUUGAUAAUUUUCGAUGGUUGCGCCGUACUUUUAUCCACGUUGACGGGACUCUCGCUGCGUACAAAACGGCGUUCUACUUGCGGGCCCAUUUCUGACAUCAGUGAAGGCUGAAAAUCAUUUCACGGUGGAAGACAAUUUGACAUUUCUUCAACGGAAUCCAGCACCUGAAUAUGAAUGGGUAAAUUUGAUUGAAUAUCAAUACUGCUUAGUGUUCUUUGGCUCUAGAACUGUACAAGGUUAAAAAGGUAACAUGUAGUUUGUCCCAAGGUGUCCACCUCCUCAACCAGAGCCAGACCUCCCAGAGCCAGACCUCCUGUCACAAGUCCUCCAGAACAGCUGAAAGGCGAGGCUGAGAGGCUGGGGGCCGGAGGCUUGUGGUGCCAGGAUGGACUGGAGACCAGGGGCCUGCAACACCGGAUCAGAGACCAGGAAUCCAUGGCUGAAGGAGCUGAUGGAGGAGCCAUGCUGAAGGCCCUGCCUGGUGGAGGAGCUGACGGAGGAUGUCUGUCGUGGGGUAGAUGGAGCCUGACUCUGAAGUGACAUCACACUCACUGCCACUUCUCGUAGAAUACUGCUACCACAAUCCACCAGCGUUUGUACCAUGUAUACCAGACAACUACAUCUGUUUUACCACAUGUUGCAGCAAGACUUCCGCUGUUUGUUCCAGACCAGGACCAGUCUGAGGAGAGCUGAUGGAGGAGCUGAGAUGCUGGAGGACAACUAGGAAUCGACCAACAAGGAUUCCUCAAUGUGUUUCUGGAGCGGAGGCGAGCUGGUAGGGGAGCCAUGAAUCUGGAGGAUGACCAUCACUUUACCAACAAGGAUUACGUUGGGGCCAGACUUGCGCUGUUUGUUCCAGACCAGGACUCUGGCUGAGGAGAGCUGAUGGAGGAGCCAAGACUCUGGAGGACGACAUCACUCCACCAACAAGGAUCCUCGUAAAACCAGGAAUCUGGAGGACUGACGGAAAAGCCGUACAUCUGGAAGGCAAAUCCUGAGGACGACCAGGACUCUACCAUCAAGGAUUCCUCACACACCUGAGCUGAAUCUCACCUGAUCCUGUCUUGGCGGGGGCAGACACACCUGAGCUGAACCCCACCUGAUCCGGACAUCCUGCUGGUCCUGUCUACUCAGUUCAUCUGAGCCUCUUCCUCCAGAAGACCUGCUGAGCUCAGCGGUCUGAGGCUGAUGGAUCAAUGACCACCAGUGGGAGUGAUCUUCUUGACCCCACAUAUACCCGUGUGCUUCCACACGCCUUUCCCUCAAGUCUGUCACUAACCUCACUACUUCACUACUCUCUACUCCUUCACCUUCUUCUUCCUUCUCCGUUGUUCAAACCGUUACUCUGAAGGAGUGUCUCCUUGAUCCUUUACACUGAAGGAGCGUCUUCCUGCCCUCAGAGGGUUCAGCGUUAGGGUUGAGAGUCAGGGUUUAGAGUCAGGGACAGAGCUGGUCAGGGAGGGCUGGUUUUACACAAACCUCUUCACUUGCUUUCUGAAUGGUGGUGACAUUUUGAAAAGAUUCAUUUGGGAAAAUGUUUUCCUCUGCUUUCCUUUGCAAAAAUAUGUAUUAAACUUCUGUGUUUGUAACCAGACCAGGAAUCCAUGGCUGAAGGAGCUGAUGGAGGAGCCGUGCUGAAUGCCCCGCCGGGUGGAGGAGCUGAUGGAGGUCCUGCCUGGUGGAGGAGCCAUGCUGAAGGCCCUGCUUGGUGGAGGAUGUCUGUCGUGGGACCAGGACUCUGUCUGAGGAGAGCUGAUGGAGGAGCUGAGACGCUGGAGGACAACUAGGAAUCGACCAACAAGGAUUCCUCAACGUGUUUCUGGAGUGGAGGCGAGCUGAUAGGGGAGCCGUGAAUCUGGAGGAUGACCAUCACUCUACCAACAAGGAUUACCAGGAAUCUGGAGGACUGACGAAGAAGCCGUACAUCUGGAAGGCAAAUCCUGAGGACGACCAGGACUCUACCAUCAACGAUUCCUCACACAGCUGAGCUGAACCCCACCUGAUCCGGAAUCCUGCUGGUCCCGUCUCCUCAGUUCAUCUGAACCUCGUCCUCCAGAAGACCUUCUGAGCUCAGCGGUCUGAGGCUGAUGGAUCAAUGACCUCCAGUGGGAGUGAUCGUCUUGACCCCACAUGUAGCCGUGUGCUUCCACACGCCUUUCCCUCACAUCUGUCACUAACCUCACUACUCUCUACUCCUUCCCCUUCUUCCUUCUCCGUGGUUCGAACCUUUACUCUGAAGGAGUGUCUUCUUGAAUCUUUACACUGAAGGAGUGUCUUCCUGCCCUCAGAGGGUUCAGCGUUAGGGUUGAGAGUCAGGGUUUAGAGUCAGGGACAGAGCUGGUCAGGGAGGACUGCUUUUACACAAACCUCUUCACUUGCUUUCUGAAUGGUGACAUUUUGAAAAGAUUCAUCUGGGAAAAUGUUUUCCUCUGCUUUCCUUUACAAAAAUAUGUAUGUAACUCUGUCAAUUGUUUUUGUUUAUAUAUUAAAAUCCCACAUUGACU
This is a long non-coding RNA of Gadus chalcogrammus (walleye pollock), 5498 nucleotides long. RefSeq lists it as uncharacterized. The transcript is spliced from 13 exons. The record is from RefSeq and is a predicted model, not a curated record. Lineage: Eukaryota; Metazoa; Chordata; Actinopteri; Gadiformes; Gadidae.